RNAcentral lists this non-coding RNA (80 nucleotides) under pig gut metagenome. Its description in RNAcentral is "NiCo riboswitch". It matches the Rfam family "NiCo (Nickel/Cobalt) riboswitch aptamer". The record is from RNAcentral.
ACAGUACAAACUGAGCAGACCGUGUAUAUCAUGGAGUCGGGUCACAAAUGUGACAGUGGAAUUAUAAUCCACGGGACAGU